RNAcentral lists this transfer RNA (62 nucleotides) under human gut metagenome. It matches the Rfam family "tRNA", at positions 6 to 65 of the family's 71-position model. From Rfam's summary of the family: Transfer RNA (tRNA) molecules are approximately 80 nucleotides in length. The record is from RNAcentral.
AGUAGCUCAGUCGGUAGAGCACAAGACUUUUAAUCUUGGGGUCCCGGGUUCGAGUCCCGGUU